AUUCAUUUAAAAAAAUCACAUUUAUUUAAUUUCAAAUUAUCACAUAAAUAAAGUCUUAUAGCAGUCCAAAGCAUGAAUUGAUGGUUAAGGUAUCUAUACAUUGUAGAUUAUUGCAGUGUAACCCACUUUUGAAUCAUACCUCAACUCAUAAAGUUGAUCCUUGAACAUUUCUGUAUUCAAGUCAGACCACCAAUGAACUAUUGAAGGCAAGUUGCCCAUCAAUAACAAAAUUUUGAAGGGAAAAAUUGUAAAAUAUUUUUAUGAUACACAUAUACUGAUUAAAAACUACUAAUCUGCUUCAUAUUGAGACAAAAUAUAUAGAAAAAAUAGUUAAAUCAAUUUCAAACUUAUGAACUCCAUCAAAGACAAUAAAUAGCAAUGGCUAGAAUAUCUACACAAAUGGACAGCUCAUAGAAUGUUAAAUAUUACAAAAUAUCUUUGACUCUUUAAGCAUCAGUUCUAAUAUUCUAUUGAUAAAGUUUAUCCUUGACUAGCCUAGUGAAAAAAAAGGUGUCCUCAACGUUACGUUGGUGAUGGCUACAGAGUAGAGAAUAGAACAAGUUUAAACAUUGAAAAUACAUUUAUAAAGAAUCUGAAACUUCAUACAUACUUUUGUACUUCAUGUUUACACUCCAUACUCAGACACUGAAAUCUAAUACUUAAUGUCUUUAUAAUAACUUAAGAGUUGAACAAAUACAAUGUGGCUGUAUAUUUUCUGUGUACCAAUUAUUUCAUAGUAGUGAUUAGUCUUUACUUUUUUAUUCUUCGGAUAUUUAAUUAUUUUAAAUUAAAUGAAUUAAAAAAGAAAGCUGCAUUGAACAUUUGUAUCUGUAACCAAUUCAUAUCAUUUGUCAAUUAUUUGACAAGCUAUUUAAUAAAACAGUGAUGUCAAUAUAAAUAACAACCCAAUAUUUCCAUUCACUAAAAACAAUCUACAUAAGUGACUGAGAUUUUUUUUUUAUGUCUGUACCAGUACUAUAAAAUACUACAUAGGAAACAAAAAAAUGUACAGCACUGGUUUUUUUUGUAACUUAAAGUUUGAGAGGUUGAGUUAAACUAUGUCCAUCUAAUUUAAAUUAAGUUGAAUAAAACAGAUAAUUAAGACCUAAACAAGUAAUGAAAUGUGCACAUUAUAAACUUCUUUCAAUAAUUGUGCCCACACAGUGACUGAAGACUCACACUGUCACUUUCAAAGUGGGAAAGGAAGAAAAUUUAUUAAAAAAAAACAAAAAAACCAACACAAUGCAAGGUCAUUAUAAAAUGAUCUGAACAUAACAUGGACAUUACUUCAAGAAGGAACUUUUUUUUUAAAAUCUCGACUUAUCUCUCCCCCCCCCCCCCUCC
This is a non-coding RNA of Biomphalaria pfeifferi, 1344 nucleotides long. The record is from the annotation of a GenBank genome assembly. NCBI's taxonomy places the organism in Eukaryota, Metazoa, Mollusca, Gastropoda, Planorbidae.